Long non-coding RNA from Acanthopagrus latus (yellowfin seabream), 523 nucleotides. RefSeq lists it as uncharacterized. The record is from RefSeq and is a predicted model, not a curated record. The transcript has 3 exons. NCBI's taxonomy places the organism in Eukaryota, Metazoa, Chordata, Actinopteri, Spariformes, Sparidae.
UCGAGCACAGCAAAACAGGAACCAGCCGUGACCAAAACUCAGACCGGACCACAGACGAUCGAAACACGAGAACCGCGAUGCAACCUCGGCUGAAAAUAAAUCAAGAGGCCACAACAGAGUGAGAUGUGAGAGUGGCUUCACAGAGACGGUUCAGACAUCACUUGGAGGAUCACCUUGCUGAGUUCUGCUGUAGACUGAAUUGCCCACCAUGAACUCAGUCAUUCAUGGACCCUGAUCUCCGACGAAAGCAGGGUUCAGCAUCGCUCCCCUCUUCGGUGGUCCUCUGCGCACCGUGUCAUGAAGUCCUCCAGCUGGACUGUGUCCUCCCUCUGGCGCCCCCAGGACAGCUUCCUUGGGGUAGAAGUGACGAAGCCGGUGGAUGCCGAGUUGCCCAUGACAGGAAAUGUGCUUCAAAUCUGUGAAUCAAAAAAUGGAAAAAAUGAACCUAUUAAAUAAAAUGCAAUUACAUUUCUAAUUACACAUACACUUUAGAUUUAACACAGAUGGCUUCUUACCUGGUCAG